This 784-nucleotide long non-coding RNA is filed under the name Anser brachyrhynchus (Pink-footed goose). Its description in RNAcentral is "lncRNA (ENSABRG00000014316.1)". Lineage: Eukaryota; Metazoa; Chordata; Aves; Anseriformes; Anatidae. The record is from RNAcentral.
GGCACUGACGCUCUUCUGUGCCUGCGCUCAGGGGAGGGCAAAGUCCACCCUGAAUCACGUGCAGCCCCACGGGGCGGCGACAGCCUCCUCACCCGGCCCCCAGCUCGGCUUCCUUCCCCUGUAAAAGUAUGGGUGCCACGGACUGCAUACGCUGGGGACUUUUGGAGCAAGACAGGCUCGACCCGGGAGAGGAAACGCCUCGUCUGUUUGCUGGACUGCACUGCACAGCCUUGUUUUCUGGCUGUUUCUGUCCGUUGCCGGCUCAAUGACUUUUGAAAUGCAAGAGAGAGGAUGCAUGCUACAGUCUUUUACAUUCGCUUCACCCAAUUGGUCUAGCUGUUUGCAGUUGUAGCAGCGAAGCCUUAUCUCGUCUGCAUAUGAUGUUCAAAAAGGGCCUGCUGGAAGAUCCAAGUCCAGUCUGCACUCUUGAAGCACCUGCUGUGCAGGAGGUGAAUGUUGACAGAAGGGAAGCUGAAUGGACUCAAUCAACACGCAUGGAGAAGAUGGGUGCAGUGGUGAGAGAUAUGCAGCCUGUUGCUGAAGGACUGGAUGAAAUCAUCGUUCAGGGGUUGAUAGUCUGCAAAAGCUUCAUAGACUCUGUACAAUAUAAGGAGGUUGUGCAGAUGGAAGUUGUUUUAUAUGUACCUCAUAAUAAUUUUCUUAGUAAAACAAGCAGACUCUUGCUGUUCCUUCAUGAAAUAAAAAUGGGCUAGUGCCCAUUUUCCAUUUUUCACCUUGACUCAUUGUUUAUCUUUACUUUCUUUGGAGGGAAUUAGGGGGAAGA